UGACAGGUUUGUGUCACCACACCCUGUUU
Molecule: non-coding RNA, 29 nt
Filed under: Rattus norvegicus (Norway rat)
Lineage: Eukaryota; Metazoa; Chordata; Mammalia; Rodentia; Muridae
Source: RNAcentral